AUCAAGCAAGAAGAGAAGACGACAUCUCGAUCACAGGCCAUGGCCAUGGGUGAGGAGGCCGCGGCCACGGUCACCGCGGCGGCGACGUUGUCUGCGCCCCACCUGCUCAUCAUAUGCAACCCGUCGCAGGGCAACAUCAACCCCAUGCUGCGCCUGGGCAAGCGCCUCGCGGCCAAGGGUCUCUUGGUGACCUUCUCAUCGACCGCCGAUGUUGGAGCCAAGAUCACGGCUUCCUCCGGGGUGGAAGAUGGCGGCGACGGCGUGCCGCUCGGCCUUGGCCGCAUCCGGUUCGAGUUCCUAGACGACCAUUUCGACGGGAAGGAGGAGCUGAAGUUCAACGACCUGAUGACGCACCUGGAGACGGCCGGGCCGCCGGCGUUCGCGAAGCUACUGAGGCGCCAGGAGGAGGCGGGCCGGCCUGUGGCGUGCGUCGUCGUGAACCCGUUCAUCCCGUGGGCGAUGGACGUCGCCCAAGCCGCCGGCAUCCCCUAUGCGGUGCUGUGGGUGCAGUCGUGCGCGGUGUUCUCGCUCUACUACCACCACGUGCACGGGCUCCUGGAUCUCCCGGCCGAGGACGACCUCGACGCUCGGGUCAAGCUCCCGGGACUCCCGGCGCUGUCUGUCACCGACGUGCCGUCGUUCCUGUUGCCGUCGAACCCCUACUGCUUCAAGCUCUUCACCGAGGCGAUACUGAGGCAGUUCCGCGCCAUCCACAGGCCGUCGUGGGUGUUCGUCAACUCCUUCUCCGAGCUGGAGCGCGACGUGGUCGACGCUCUCCAGAGCGUCUCGCCGCGGCCCCCCCUGCUCAUCCCCGUCGGUCCACUCGUCGAGCUGGAGGAGGAGGCCGCGGUGCGCGGCGACAUGAUGAAGCCGGCGGACGAGUGCGUGGGGUGGCUGGACACGCAGGCGCCGCGCUCCGUCGUGUACGCAUCUCUCGGCAGCAUGGCGGUGCUGUCCGCCGAGGAGCUGGCCGAGAUGGCGCACGGGCUCGCGUCCACCGGCCGCCCCUUCCUGUGGGUAGUUCGGCCGGACAACAGCGCGUUGCUCCCGGAGGGUUACCUCAACUCCAUCGCCGGGCGCGGCAUGGUGGUGCCAUGGAGCCCGCAGGACCUCGUGCUCGCGCACCCGUCCACGGCGUGCUACCUCACGCACUGCGGCUGGAACUCGACGCUGGAGACGCUCGCCGCGGGGGUCCCCGUGGCGGCCUUUCCGAUGUGGGGCGACCAGUGCACGGACGCUAAGUAUCUGGUGGAGGAGCUCAAGAUGGGCGUGCGCGUCCGCGCGCCGCUGCGGCGGGACGCCGUGCGCGACGCCUUGGAGAACGUUGUGGCUGGGCCGGACGCCGGCGCGAUGCUCGACAACGCCAGGGCGUGGAGCGUGGUGGCGAGGACGGCGGUGGCGCCCGGCGGGUCGUCGGACCGCCACAUACAGGCCUUCGUGGACGAGUUCCUUAGUGUUUCAAGUUCAAGAUAG
Molecule: ribosomal RNA, 1473 nt
Filed under: Triticum aestivum (bread wheat)
Lineage: Eukaryota; Viridiplantae; Streptophyta; Magnoliopsida; Poales; Poaceae
Description: partial small subunit ribosomal RNA
Source: RNAcentral